CUUUUGAAAUACUGGCAGUAUCAUAGCCAAUGAGGUUAAUCUGAGGUGUGAUUAUUGCUAGUUGAAAACUUUUCCCAAUAUUCUGCUGUGUAGAUUAGGACAAUGGGAACUGGCUUCAAGUACUUCCCUAAUGAGA
Emys orbicularis (European pond turtle) is the source of this 136-nucleotide small nuclear RNA. RefSeq annotates it as U4 spliceosomal RNA. NCBI's taxonomy places the organism in Eukaryota, Metazoa, Chordata, Testudines, Emydidae. The record is from RefSeq and is a predicted model, not a curated record. The transcript has a single exon.